UCACAAUCGGUUGCGAGCAAAGAUCCUAUAACCGAUGAAUCUGCCCAUGACCGUACUACGUCUUUUUCGUCGAGUGGUCUAUCUUGCUUGCUAUAGGAUCUUUGGUUGCGAGCAGCUCCUCUAGUAUCUUUGGUUGCGAGGGAGAUGAGAGGUCAGGCCCAAAGAUAUCUGCUCUAAGAUCUUUGGUCAGGCCUGAGUUGAAGAUGCCUAAAAAUGUGGAGGUCAAAGCUGCAGUCCAUGACUGGGAUCAGCUUAUCGAAAAUGCGAAAAGACUAAGCAAAUCAGAGGGGAUUUUAAUAAUGCAGGAAGACACUUUCUUCAAUGUUUCAAAAGGACGUCUUAAACUGCGCCAUCUUAAGAACGGAGGUGGAGGGCAGCUCAUAUUCUAUAACCGUGCUGAUAUGGAGGGACCUAAGCUCUCAGACUAUUCCAUAUAUCCCACAGGAAAUCCAGUUGAACUCACGGUGGGUAGUCGUAUGGUAGAUGAUGUUUGUGUCCAU
Leucoraja erinaceus (little skate) is the source of this 500-nucleotide long non-coding RNA. RefSeq lists it as uncharacterized. The transcript has 3 exons. NCBI's taxonomy places the organism in Eukaryota, Metazoa, Chordata, Chondrichthyes, Rajiformes, Rajidae. The record is from RefSeq and is a predicted model, not a curated record.